RNAcentral lists this transfer RNA (23 nucleotides) under Scapisenecio leptocarpus. RNAcentral describes it as "Senecio leptocarpus partial tRNA-His". Lineage: Eukaryota; Viridiplantae; Streptophyta; Magnoliopsida; Asterales; Asteraceae. The record is from RNAcentral.
GGCGGANGUAGCCAAGUGGAUCA